Molecule: non-coding RNA, 69 nt
Organism: Oryza glaberrima (African rice)
Lineage: Eukaryota; Viridiplantae; Streptophyta; Magnoliopsida; Poales; Poaceae
Source: Rfam
UCGAGCUUUGCUUGCCGGGGCUGCGUACCGCCAUAUCUGGCGCGCAUCCCCGUCGAGCAACGCUCGACG